Molecule: long non-coding RNA, 393 nt
Organism: Cucumis melo (muskmelon)
Lineage: Eukaryota; Viridiplantae; Streptophyta; Magnoliopsida; Cucurbitales; Cucurbitaceae
Exons: 3
Source: RefSeq, a predicted model, not a curated record
ACCCGAACCGUCGCGCGCCACCUUCCGGAACCCGACCCGCGCCCGCGUGCAUCCGUGCGCGAGCCGCGUCCGCGUGUGAAGCCGCGCCGCGCGCUUCUGCGUAGCCGAGCCGCGUCUCCCUCCUGUUGCAAGCCGAGCCGCACGCGUAAUCCCUGUGCCGAGCCGAGCCGCGCCUGCGCCAAGCCGAGCCGGUCCCUGUCCUCUUCCAGCCGAGCCGCCAAGACUAAUUUGGCUCCAUCCACCUAAAUUUUGGGACGUCUUGGACCAAGUAAUUGCUGCAGCGCGGGAUUUCUUCAGUAGGGGCUCGAGCACUGCAACCUCCUUCUAGGUUAGGACCUCGUCGCUUGGAAAGCGUACUGCCUCGCGGUUAGGACUCUACAAGUAAAUCUCCAG